This is a transfer RNA of Felis catus (domestic cat), 85 nucleotides long. It matches the Rfam family "tRNA". From Rfam's summary of the family: Transfer RNA (tRNA) molecules are approximately 80 nucleotides in length. Their secondary structure includes four short double-helical elements and three loops (D, anti-codon, and T loops). NCBI's taxonomy places the organism in Eukaryota, Metazoa, Chordata, Mammalia, Carnivora, Felidae. The record is from Rfam.
GCCUGGGUGGCUCAGUGGGUCAAGCAUCUGACUUCGGCUCAGGUCAUGAUCUUGCAGUUUGUGAGUUCGAGUCUUGCAUCAGGCU